Molecule: ribosomal RNA, 253 nt
Filed under: uncultured bacterium
Lineage: Bacteria
Description: partial 16S ribosomal RNA
Rfam family: Bacterial small subunit ribosomal RNA
Source: RNAcentral
UACGUAGGUGGCAAGCGUUGUCCGGAUUUAUUGGGUUUAAAGGGUGCGUAGGCGGCUUUGUAAGUCAGUGGUGAAAUAUGGCAGCUCAACUGUCAAGGUGCCAUUGAUACUGCAGAGCUUGAGUACAGAUGAGGUAGGCGGAAUUGACGGUGUAGCGGUGAAAUGCUUAGGUAUCGUCAAGAACACCUAUAGCGAAGGCAGCUUACUAGGCUGUAACUGACGCUGAGGCACGAAAGUGUGGGGAUCAAACAGG